AGAGGUGGGGCCGGGUGACUAAGAGCACUUGUCCUGGAGCCUUGCUGUCCAGGUUCAAAUCCUACAACUGUUGUGUUGCCAUCCUGCUCCCGUCCCCAGAGGCGACCGCUGAAGAGGAGGGAGCCGUUUCUCGGGCGGCCUUCAUAUACAGCAUCGAUGCCAAAUAAUCACGUAAAUAAAUACAUGAGUACGAUAAGGACAGGAAGACAAAGGGAAGGGAGGAGAAGAAAAGAAAAAGCCAGGAACGGCUCCACCAGGAUAGGGACCUGCCUGCUUCCUUCCCCGCUAAGGCUUCCGCGUCGAGAUCAGCACCUGGCCCCGGUUCAGGACGGACAGACCUGCGAGCGCCAACACAGCCCGUCCCCACUCCUGUGGCGACAUAGGCCACACGGCUCUGCGGCUCACUUUUCUUGCUCCCUCAGCUGGGAGACCGUGUUUUCUCCACUCACACAGAGCUGCCUCGUUCCGGUGCUGCAGAGUCGGCCACGUGGCCGCAGCCGGGGACAUCUGGCCCAAUCCCGCAGGUGGAGACACGAUGGAACUGGUCUUUCCUCAGAGGCUGCGGGCAGUGGCUGCGGGAAUAUUAUUGCACAAACCGUGAAGGGGAAUGAAGGAUAUUUUCAGUUCGGAGCUCAGAUUCCCGGAUCACAGGUCCUCCCUUCCCGUUCUGCCUGCCAGGGUGGAGCUGGGUGGAUUAGUCUGGACAUUUCAGGCCACUGGCCACUGCUCUGGAGCAGGUCCUAGAGAGCCUUCUGUCUCUGUGCCUAGCGUGGACCCUUCACUUGCCGGAGCACAGAGUGGCCCAGGGUCUGGGGACUGACCCCAGAGUGGCCAGCGAGGCAGGCUCGUCACUCUGAGGCUCAAAGCAUAGGACACCAUCUGUGCCUGCUCGUGGGUAAGAGUUCAAGCCUCUGCACCAGCGUUACUGUGCGCCCUGCAGACAAUCUAACUCCGUGGGGAAAUGGAGGCUCAGAUGCUUUCCCAGGGAAGACGCUAGCUUGAUUCCAGAGGACGCAGGCUGGUGGCAGUGAAGCCAAGCCCAGGGAAAG
This 1049-nucleotide long non-coding RNA is filed under the name Vulpes vulpes (red fox). Its description in RNAcentral is "lncRNA (ENSVVUG00000016698.1)". The record is from RNAcentral. Lineage: Eukaryota; Metazoa; Chordata; Mammalia; Carnivora; Canidae.